RNAcentral lists this ribosomal RNA (368 nucleotides) under uncultured organism. RNAcentral's name for it is "bacterial SSU rRNA". It matches the Rfam family "Bacterial small subunit ribosomal RNA", at positions 526 to 896 of the family's 1533-position model. The record is from RNAcentral.
CGUAGGUGGCAAGCGUUGUCCGGAUUUAUUGGGUUUAAAGGGUGCGUAGGCGGUUUUCUAAGUCAGCAGUGAAAUACGGCAGCUCAACUGUCGAGGUGCUGUUGAUACUGGGGAACUUGAGUACUGAUGAGGUAGGCGGAAUGGACGGUGUAGCGGUGAAAUGCUUAGAGAUCGUCCAGAACACCGAUUGCGAAGGCAGCUUACUAAGGAGUAACUGACGCUGAGGCACGAAAGUGUGGGGAUCAAACAGGAUUAGAUACCCUGGUAGUCCACACUGUAAACGAUGAUUACUCGAUGUGUGCGAUACACGGCACGCGUCUUAGCAAAAGCGAUAAGUAAUCCACCUGGGGAGUACGCCGGCAACGGUG